GGGAGGAAAUCUUUAAAACAAGUUCCCAAGCCUCCCUUCCGCGGAUGUGCAGAGUCACCGGUCCAAGGGAGGGGAGAGUUAGCCGAGAUCUCAAGUCAGGAAGGGUUUAGACAGCAGCAGCGUGGUAGUAAUGGUCUCACGUCCUCCCUGGAAAGGGAAACAGCUUCUCCUCUGUCUGUUCCCUCACCUCCAUGUGUGUAUUUUUGGAGCUAAAACUCAGGACAUCUGGUCCAAUAAGGAGGAUGAGCUCCUAGACGAUAGGAGACGCGAAAUCAGGGCUGCCCGGAACUGAGAGACAGAGUCACACUGCUAAUGGCUCCAGGGCUGAAGCUGGGCAAGAAGGAGGGGAUGAAGGAGGCAGUGAUCACAGACACCUUGCAAUAGCCGGGAGAGGCGGAGGUGGGCCAUCGAGAAGGCCAGAGCUCUGCCCUUGACCUCUCAAGGCCAGGCCCUGCGGCGUUCAUCUCUCGUAUCCCAGGAGCCUGAGGCUGGGUUGUGCCCACGUCCUUGGACACCAAGGGGCAGAAGGAACUGUACCCUGGCCAGCCAAGUACUUCCAGGGCCUCAUCCGUGCCCCUCUGCUCCAUCAGGUAAAAUGGAGCAACCCUCCCUCUGGCACUCUCUCCAGCCAGACCCCCUUCCAGCUCCGCCUCUGACCAGCUGCUCAACCUUGCACGUGUCUCUUUGCUUCUCUGAACCUCAGUUUUCUCGUCUGUAAAAUGAAGGACGGCCCGGAGAGUCCCCGAGGCCCUCUGCAGCUCCAGCCUCGGACUGCAGGGCUGCUGGCUCUCAGGUGGAGGCAAUUUCCCAGAUCACUGAGCCCCACCUGGCCACCAUCGUGUGAGGGCCUCCCCUGGGCACCGGCCGUCUGGAAGCACCGCCAUCCAUCUUUGUGAAUAUCUGGUUAAAACACUC
This is a long non-coding RNA of Bubalus bubalis (water buffalo), 915 nucleotides long. RefSeq lists it as uncharacterized. The record is from RefSeq and is a predicted model, not a curated record. The transcript has 3 exons. Lineage: Eukaryota; Metazoa; Chordata; Mammalia; Artiodactyla; Bovidae.